This 1412-nucleotide ribosomal RNA is filed under the name metagenome. Its description in RNAcentral is "bacterial LSU rRNA". It matches the Rfam family "Bacterial large subunit ribosomal RNA", at positions 1536 to 2925 of the family's 2925-position model. The record is from RNAcentral.
AAAAAUCCGUCCCGCAUGGGUCCGAGGUGCGAUGAUGGGGGCCUUAUGGCCCGAUAUCCGGUGAUCCCGGCUGCCGAGAAAAGCUUCGGCGUCAGGCUCAAAGCCGCCCGUACCCCAAACCGACACUGGUGGUCAGGUAGAGAAUACCAAAGCGAUCGAGCGAAUCCUGGUCAAGGAACUCGGCAAAUCACUCCCGUUCCUUCGGUUUAAGGGAGACCCCCGAUGGUGAACACACUUGCUGUGGGAGCUUUUGGGGGUGGCACAGACCAGGGGGUAGCGACUGUUUACCAAAAACACAGGUGCAUGCGAAGGCGCAAGCCGCUGUAUAUGCACUGACGCCUGCCCGGUGCCGGAAGGUUAAGAGGAUCCGUCAGCCUUCGGGUGAAGCGGUGAAUUCAAGCCCCGGUAGACGGCGGUGGUAACAAUAACCAUCCUAAGGUAGCGAAAUUCCUUGUCGGGUAAGUUCCGACCUGCACGAAUGGCGUAACGACUUCCCCACUGUCUCGACCAGGAGCUCGGCGAAAUUGCAGUACGAGUAAAGAUGCUCGUUAAGCGCAGAAGGACGAAAAGACCCCGGGACCUUUACUAUACCUUGGUAUUGGCAUUCGGUGUGGAUUGUGUAGCAUAGGCGGGAGGCCGAGAGGCGCGGUCGCCAGAUCGCGCGGAGCCGUAAGGUGAAAUACCGCUCUGUUCGCAUUGGAUGUCUAACCUCGAACAGUCAUCCUGUUCAGGGACAGUGCCUGGCGGGUAGUUUAACUGGGGCGGUUGCCUCCCAAAGAGUAACGGAGGCGCCCAAAGGUCCGCUCAGCCCGGUUGGCAAUCGGGUGGCGAGUGCAAGUGCACAAGCGGGCUUGACUGCGAGGACGACGGUCCGAGCAGGGACGAAAGUCGGGACUAGUGAUCCGGUGCCGGUGUACGGACGCGGCAUCGCUCAACGGAUAAAAGGUACCCCGGGGAUAACAGGCUGAUCAUUCCCAAGAGUCCAUAUCGACGGGAUGGUUUGGCACCUCGAUGUCGGCUCGUCGCAUCCUGGGGCUGGAGCAGGUCCCAAGGGUUCGGCUGUUCGCCGAUUAAAGCGGCACGCGAGCUGGGUUCAGAACGUCGUGAGACAGUUUGGUCUCUAUCCUCUGCGCUCGUUGGAAUGCUGAGGAGGCCUGCCCAUAGUACGAGAGGACCUGGGUGGACGAACCUCUGGUAUGCCGGUUGUCACGCCAGUGGCACGGCCGGUUGGCUACGUUCGGAAGGGAUAACCGCUGAAAGCAUCUAAGCGGGAAGCCUGCUCCAAGAUAAGCAUUCCGUGGAACCUUCGAGUUCCUGUAGUCCCCAUGCAGAACACGUGGUCGAUAGGCCAGACGUGGAAGCCCCGCGAGGGGUGGAGCCGACCGGUACUAACGGACGAAAGGCAACAUUAA